UACGUAGGGUGCAAGCGUUGUCCGGAAUUAUUGGGCGUAAAGAGCUCGUAGGCGGUUUGUUGCGUCGGCUGUGAAAUCCCGAGGCCCAACCUCGGGUCUGCAGUCGAUACGAGCAAACUAGAGUGUUGCAGGGGAGACUGGAAUUCCUGGUGUAGCGGUGAAAUGCGCAGAUAUCAGGAGGAACACCGGUGGCGAAGGCGGGUCUCUGGGCAACAACUGACGCUGAGGAGCGAAAGCGUGGGGAGCGAACAGG
RNAcentral lists this ribosomal RNA (253 nucleotides) under uncultured bacterium. RNAcentral describes it as "partial 16S ribosomal RNA". It matches the Rfam family "Bacterial small subunit ribosomal RNA", at positions 524 to 776 of the family's 1533-position model. The record is from RNAcentral.